CACGAACGCUGGCGGCGUGCUUAACACAUGCAAGUCGAGCGGUAAGGCCUCUUCGGGGGUACACGAGCGGCGAACGGGUGAGUAACACGUGGGUGACCUGCCCUCAGCUCUGGGAUAAGCCUGGGAAACUGGGUCUAAUACCGGAUAUGACUGCGCAUCGCAUGGUGUGUGGUGGAAAGUUCCUGGCCUUUGGGUUGGGUUCGGUUGGGGAUGGGCCCGCGGCCUAUCAGCUGUUGGUGGGGUGAUGGCCUACCAAGGCGACGACGGGUAGCCGGCCUGAGAGGGCGUCCGGCCACACUGGGACUGAGACACGGCCCAGACUCCUACGGGAGGCAGCAGUGGGGAAUAUUGCGCAAUGGGCGGAAGCCUGACGCAGCGACGCCGCGUGGGGGAUGACGGCCUCGGUU
RNAcentral lists this ribosomal RNA (407 nucleotides) under uncultured bacterium. Its description in RNAcentral is "bacterial SSU rRNA". It matches the Rfam family "Bacterial small subunit ribosomal RNA", at positions 29 to 424 of the family's 1533-position model. The record is from RNAcentral.